RNAcentral lists this ribosomal RNA (470 nucleotides) under uncultured bacterium. Its description in RNAcentral is "SSU rRNA". It matches the Rfam family "Bacterial small subunit ribosomal RNA", at positions 26 to 518 of the family's 1533-position model. The record is from RNAcentral.
AGGAUAAACGCUGGCGGCGUGCCUAACACAUGCAAGUCGAACGUCUCUUCUUUCGGGAAGAGGAGUGGCGGACGGGUGAGGAACACGUGGGAACCUGCCCUUUAGUGAGGAAUACCGGCGAGAAAUCGCCGACAAGACCGCAUAGCCUCGGUGCAAGUCGAGGAAAGCUCUCUCGAGAGAGGGAGCGCCACACGAGGAGCCUGCGCCCGAUUAGCUAGCUGGUGGAGUAAUGGUUCACCAGGGCGACGAUCGGUAGCUGGUCUGAGAGGACGAUCAGCCACACUGGGAUUGAGAACGGCCCAGACUCCUACGGGGGGCAGCAGUGAGGAAUUUUCGUCAAUGGGGGCAACCCUGAACGAGCAACGCCGCGUGCAGGAAGAAGGUUUUCGGAUCGUAAACUGCUUUUCUCGGGGAGGAGAACGGACGGUACCCGAGGAAUCAGCCCCGGCUAACUACGUGCCAGCAGCCGC